Molecule: ribosomal RNA, 449 nt
Filed under: uncultured bacterium
Lineage: Bacteria
Description: partial 16S ribosomal RNA
Rfam family: Bacterial small subunit ribosomal RNA
Source: RNAcentral
AACGAACGCUGGCGGCAGGCCUAACACAUGCAAGUAGAACGGGACCUUCGGGUCUAGUGGCGGACGGGUGAGUAACGCGUGGGAACGUGCCCUUUGGUUCGGAAUAGCCUAGGGAAACUGGGCGUAAUACCGGAUAAGCCCUACGGGGGAAAGAUUUAUCGCCAAAGGAACGGCCCGCGUUGGAUUAGGUAGUUGGUGGGGUAAUGGCCUACCAAGCCGACGAUCCAUAGCUGGUUUGAGAGGAUGAUCAGCCACACUGGGACUGAGACACGGCCCAGACUCCUACGGGAGGCAGCAGUGGGGAAUCUUAGACAAUGGGGGAAACCCUGAUCUAGCCAUGCCGCGUGAUCGAUGAAGGCCUUAGGGUUGUAAAGAUCUUUCAGUGGGGAAGAUAAUGACUGUACCCACAGAAGAAGCCCCGGCUAACUCCGUGCCAGCCGCCGCCGUAA